ACCUCACUUGAGACAUCCAUCAUGGCAGCUGUGGAUCAGAGACCCACUCAAGGCGACUACACUCUGAGUUACAUCACUCCAUCCCACGCCAAGUCCUCGGUGGUGAAGAACACCUUCUACGCCGGGAACGGAGUUUUCAGCAGCUCAUCUUCUUCUUUGGACAUGUAUGGCUGAAGUUCAGCUCUAGAGACAUGAGGAGGCGAUAUCAUGCUGACAAAGCCUAAAAUGUCCUAAAACGCCCAAAAGUGGUGUUAUUACAGAAGUAUUCUUUGUGUCGUGAUUGUCAGAAUUAAAGUAUAUUUCUUCAUAAA
Long non-coding RNA from Notolabrus celidotus (New Zealand spotty), 311 nucleotides. RefSeq lists it as uncharacterized. The transcript is spliced from 2 exons. Lineage: Eukaryota; Metazoa; Chordata; Actinopteri; Labriformes; Labridae. The record is from RefSeq and is a predicted model, not a curated record.